This 304-nucleotide long non-coding RNA is filed under the name Manihot esculenta (cassava). RNAcentral describes it as "long non-coding RNA (MESC_LNC005738)". The record is from RNAcentral. Lineage: Eukaryota; Viridiplantae; Streptophyta; Magnoliopsida; Malpighiales; Euphorbiaceae.
AUGCAUGUUCGGCGGCCGAACUUGAGGUUCGGCGGCCGAACCUGAGUUUUCCUCCAAGAUUGUUUUUAUGCAAAAACUCAUUUCCAUUUUACUUAAAACCAUGAAAUACCUUAAAACAUUUUAUGAAAAACAUGUUUCUACCCUACUAGAGGCUUCCGACAUCCGAGAUUCCACCAGACGGUAGGAAUUCCGAUACCGGAGUCUAGCCGGGUAUUACAUUCUCCCCCCCUUAAGAACAUUCGUUCCCGAAUGUUCCUCAACUAGCACAUAGCAUGGCAUAAAACAUAACAUACAUACAUAGCAC